RNAcentral lists this ribosomal RNA (492 nucleotides) under uncultured bacterium. Its description in RNAcentral is "partial 16S ribosomal RNA". It matches the Rfam family "Bacterial small subunit ribosomal RNA", at positions 29 to 507 of the family's 1533-position model. The record is from RNAcentral.
AGUGAACGCUUGCUUUCUUCCUAACACAUUCAAGUCGAACGGCAGCACAGUAAGAGCUUGCUCUUACGGGUAGCGAGUGGCGGACGGGUGAGGAAUACAUCGGAAUCUACUUUUUCGUGGGGGAUAACGGAGGGAAACUUACGAUAAUACCGCAUACGACCUACGGGUGAAAGCAGGGGAUCUUCGGACCUUGCGCGAUUGAAUGAGCCGAUGUCGGAUUAGCUAGUUGGCGGGGUAAAGGCCCACCAAGGCCACGAUCCGUAGCUGGUCUGAGAGGAUGAUAAGCCACACUGGAACUGAGACACGGUCCAGACUCCUACGGGAGGCAGCAGUGGGGAAUCUUGGACAAUGGGCGCAAGCCUGAUCCAGCCAUACCGCGUGAGUGAAGAAGGUCUUCGGGUUGUAAAGAACUGUUGUUGGGGAAGAAAAGCAGCAUGUGAAUAUCCCGAUGUUCUGACGGUACCCAAAGAAUAAGCACAGGCUAACUUCGGG